This 253-nucleotide ribosomal RNA is filed under the name uncultured bacterium. Its description in RNAcentral is "partial 16S ribosomal RNA". It matches the Rfam family "Bacterial small subunit ribosomal RNA", at positions 524 to 776 of the family's 1533-position model. The record is from RNAcentral.
UACAGAGGUCCCAAGCGUUGUUCGGAUUCACUGGGCGUAAAGGGUGCGUAGGCGGUUGGAUAAGUCUGACGUGAAAUACUGGAGCUUAACUCCGGAACGGCGUCGGAUACUAUUCAGCUAGAGGAUUGGAGGGGGGACUGGAAUUCUCGGUGUAGCAGUGAAAUGCGUAGAUAUCGAGAGGAACACCCGUGGCGAAGGCGAGUCCCUAGACAAUUCCUGACGCUGAGGCACGAAAGCUAGGGGAGCAAACAGG